Long non-coding RNA from Bufo gargarizans (Asiatic toad), 654 nucleotides. RefSeq lists it as uncharacterized. NCBI's taxonomy places the organism in Eukaryota, Metazoa, Chordata, Amphibia, Anura, Bufonidae. The record is from RefSeq and is a predicted model, not a curated record. The transcript is spliced from 4 exons.
AUCAUGGCAGGCUCUACAGCUACAGUAGAAGAGUGUUGCUGGUGUUCGGAGCUGUCAGUUUGCAGAGCGGCACUGUGAAACAGGUAUCACAAGUGAUAGAAACAGACAAGGAAGAAUUUGACUGACCCAAUGAUCUCCCGUGGGACCUCCCAAAGGAGCACAGAUACCAACAUCACCGGUCAUACCUCAUUGUCUAUAAUGGGUCCCAUCAGGUGUCUGUCAUUUUAUCAGGAAUAUUUAAUAGAAUCUACAACUGAGGCACCUAAUGGAGUCAUCAGCGAGAUGUGUAAUUUUAACUCCUUAUCCCAAAGUCAUGUAAAAAUAAAUUGUGGUAAGGGUCACGUGUGUGGGAUGGCUGGUUAUGAUCCAGGAUACAGAAGCUGUGCCCACCCAUUACCUUUCUGAAAGAAGGCUGAUACCGAUAGCCACCCUUAUGUGCUCUUGACCGACCCUGGAUUUUUAACCUCUUCUGCUUGAUGAAUGCUGAUUAAUGUGCUGACAACAGGAAGGGGCUUCAUUUGCCAAUUCCCGUAAGCUUGGCACUGCUAAGCGGGGGAUGAUGUUUUUAUACUGGCAGCUUUCGACUUGUAUGUCCAACAUUUAUGCCUGUCAACCCUAACAGAUACCUGCACAUUUUUUCUGUAUAUUGAAAGA